RNAcentral lists this ribosomal RNA (1137 nucleotides) under Haloarcula sp. RNAcentral describes it as "bacterial SSU rRNA". It matches the Rfam family "Archaeal small subunit ribosomal RNA", at positions 136 to 1270 of the family's 1478-position model. The record is from RNAcentral. Lineage: Archaea; Methanobacteriati; Methanobacteriota; Halobacteria; Halobacteriales; Haloarculaceae.
GGAACUGAGGCCAAUAGCGGAUAUCACUCUCAGGCUGGAGUGCCGAGAGUGAGAAACGUUCCGGCGCUGUAGGAUGUGGCUGCGGCCGAUUAGGUAGAUGGUGGGGUAACGGCCCACCAUGCCGAUAAUCGGUACAGGUUGUGAGAGCAAGAGCCUGGAGACGGUAUCUGAGACAAGAUACCGGGCCCUACGGGGCGCAGCAGGCGCGAAACCUUUACACUGCACGACAGUGCGAUAGGGGGACUCCGAGUGUGAGGGCAUAUAGCCCUCGCUUUUCUGAACCGUAAGGUGGUACAGGAACAAGGACUGGGCAAGACCGGUGCCAGCCGCCGCGGUAAUACCGGCAGUCCAAGUGAUGGCCGAUAUUAUUGGGCCUAAAGCGUCCGUAGCUUGCUGUGUAAGUCCAUUGGGAAAUCGACCAGCUCAACUGGUCGGCGUCCGGUGGAAACUACACAGCUUGGGGCCGAGAGACUCAACGGGUACGUCCGGGGUAGGAGUGAAAUCCUGUAAUCCUAGACGGACCACCAAUGGGGAAACCACGUUGAGAGACCGGACCCGACAGUGAGGGACGAAAGCCAGGGUCUCGAACCGGAUUAGAUACCCGGGUAGUCCUGGCUGUAAACAAUGCUCGCUAGGUAUGUCACGCGCCAUGAGCAUGUGAUGUGCCGUAGUGAAGACGAUAAGCGAGCCGCCUGGGAAGUACGUCCGCAAGGAUGAAACUUAAAGGAAUUGGCGGGGGAGCACCACAACCGGAGGAGCCUGCGGUUUAAUUGGACUCAACGCCGGACAUCUCACCGGUCCCGACAGUAGUAAUGACAGUCAGGUUGACGACUUUACUCGACGCUACUGAGAGGAGGUGCAUGGCCGCCGUCAGCUCGUACCGUGAGGCGUCCUGUUAAGUCAGGCAACGAGCGAGACCCACACUUCUAGUUGCCAGCAACACCCCUGCGGUGGUUGGGUACACUAGGAGGACUGCCAUUGCUAAAAUGGAGGAAGGAAUGGGCAACGGUAGGUCAGUAUGCCCCGAAUGGACCGGGCAACACGCGGGCUACAAUGGCUAUGACAGUGGGAUGCGACGCCGAGAGGCGAAGCUAAUCUCCAAACGUAGUCGUAGUUCGGAUUGCGGGCUGAAACCCG